RNAcentral lists this long non-coding RNA (1208 nucleotides) under Mus caroli (Ryukyu mouse). RNAcentral's name for it is "lncRNA (MGP_CAROLIEiJ_G0013739.1)". The record is from RNAcentral. Lineage: Eukaryota; Metazoa; Chordata; Mammalia; Rodentia; Muridae.
UUUUGGUUUGGUUUUUUUCUGGGGGGGGGUUGGUAAAGAUUUAUUUAUUAUUAUACAUAAGUACACUGUAGCUGACUUCAGACACACCAGAAGAGGGCGUCAGAUCUCAUUACAGAUGGUUGUGAGCCACCAUGUGGUUGCUGGGAUUUGAACUCAGGACCUUCGGUAGAGCAGUUGGUACUCUUCCCUGCUGAGCCAUCUCUCCAGCCCAUGUUUUUUGAUUUUUGAUUUUUGAGACAGGGUUUCUCUGUGUAGCCUUGGCUCCUGGUCUAUAGAGCAAGUUCCAGGAUAGUUGGGGCUAUACAGAGAAAACCUGUCUCAAAAAAAAAAAAAAAAAGUCAUAUAUAAGUUUUUGAGGAACUGCCGUUAACAUGGAUUCUCAAGGGAAAAUGAAAAGAUUUCGAGUCUGUGUCCUAGAUAAUCCAUCCGUUACUCCCAUCAAGGGUUAAUUUGUGUUUGGGGGUGGGAGUUGUUGAAACAGGUUGUAACCCAUAUUGGCCUUGAACUCUUUAUCCCCCCUGCCUCAGCCUUCCAAAUGCUAGGUUCACAGCCUCGUGCCUCCCUGACUGGGAUCUGUCCAUGCCAACCCAGGUAAAUCCUCACAGCCCCUGGAAAGGGUUGGGUGGCUGUCGUCAACCUUGUCUUUAUAGGGGAGGCUGAGGUCUCGGACAGAAAAUACUGGUCCGGUGAUUCACCAGGCGGAAAUCUAACUCCAAACUGAUUCCCUCUGCAUCCUCAGUUGUGGAUUGUAAGAAAGCCCAGCACAGAAACUCUGACCAACCGCGUAAAGGCAGGCUGCUAGUCUGGGUACAGUAGCAGAACACCUGAAGCAUCUUGAAGCUCCUACCCGCCCUGUGAGCAGCUAGCUGUCUGUAGCCCACCUGCCUCAGAUUCUAUACAGCUGCUGGCUGUGUGCCCGUAUCAUUUAUAUAAUUUUAGUUCAUGCCCGGAUUCUGUAUUUUGUUAUUCCUCUGCCUCAGGAAGUAAGCCAUGGUUGCUUGGGCAUAUACCCCAUCUUCAAGAUUAAAAAUCAAAUUUAAAUAAAGUCAGGGUGACCUGUCAUCUGGGCCGUGUGUGAACAGCCUAAGCCAGGAUGGCAUCUGGAGGAAGCAUUUCCGUCGUGUGUCCUAGAAUCUCUAGAUCAACUCCCGUGACCCAUGGAGUUCCAAGCCCCCAUCACCUCUUCCAACCUCUACCUUCCUUUUUCC